AAUCAACGCUGGCGGCGUGCCUAACACAUGCAAGUCGAGCGCGAAUAGGGGGGUAACUCCCUUAGUAGAGCGGCGAACGGGUGAGUAACACGUGGGUGACCUGCCCUCAGCUCUGGGAUAAGCCUGGGAAACCGGGUCUAAUACUGGAUAUGACUCCAUGACGCAUGUUGUGGGGUGGAAAGCCUUGUGCGGCUGAGGAUGGGCCCGCGGCCUAUCAGCUUGUUGGUGGGGUGAUGGCCUACCAAGGCGA
This 250-nucleotide ribosomal RNA is filed under the name uncultured Actinomycetes bacterium. RNAcentral describes it as "uncultured actinobacterium partial 16S ribosomal RNA". It matches the Rfam family "Bacterial small subunit ribosomal RNA", at positions 32 to 276 of the family's 1533-position model. The record is from RNAcentral. Lineage: Bacteria; Bacillati; Actinomycetota; Actinomycetes.